AGAGCGAACGCUGGCGGCAGGCUUAACACAUGCAAGUCGAGCGGGCGUAGCAAUACGUCAGCGGCAGACGGGUGAGUAACGCGUGGGAACGUACCUUUUGGUUCGGAACAACCCAGGGAAACUUGGGCUAAUACCGGAUAAGCCCUUACGGGGAAAGAUUUAUCGCCGAAAGAUCGGCCCGCGUCUGAUUAGCUAGUUGGUGAGGUAAUGGUUCACCAAGGCGACGAUCAGUAGCUGGUCUGAGAGGAUGAUCAGCCACAUUGGGACUGAGACACGGCCCAAACUCCUACGGGAGGCAGCAGUGGGGAAUAUUGGACAAUGGGCGCAAGCCUGAUCCAGCCAUGCCGCGUGAGUGAUGAAGGCCCUAGGGUUGUAAAGCUCUUUUGUGCGGGAAGAUAAUGACGGUACCGCAAGAAUAAGCCCGGCUAACUUCGCGCCAGCAGCCGC
RNAcentral lists this ribosomal RNA (447 nucleotides) under uncultured bacterium. RNAcentral's name for it is "SSU rRNA". It matches the Rfam family "Bacterial small subunit ribosomal RNA", at positions 26 to 518 of the family's 1533-position model. The record is from RNAcentral.